UGGGAAUCGUGUAGUGGGCCGUACAUUUUGGAUGCAUUUCUUAUCAGAACUGACGGGGAAAACAAAAAUAAAUAAAAAUGCCAGACAGGCCACGCCCACACGACAUGCGACAACACAACAGUAACAACUGCGACUGCGACACGUGUGAAUGGAGGAUUAAUGGUUAAAGAGGGAACAGGGAGCUUCAAAGCACGAAAAUCGCAGCUUUCUUACAGAUACCGUCUUUCGUAGUUUUUUUAAAUCAAUACGAAUAUCAUGAUAUAAGCAUCGUAAGUAAUCACGAUACGACGCUCUUGCGGUACAGUCCACACUUUUCCACACACAGCCUGGAGAGCUCAAACAAUUCCCGAAGCAUUUCAGUUAUUCUCACUGACAGGUGUGAGGCGAGAUGGCGAGAGCUGGACGCUGAUGCGAGUGUGUAUUUUUAAACGUGCUUCUGUAUCACGAGUGUGUUAGACACUGCAUGACUCGGACGUGACUGACAAAGACCAGACAGAAUGCAAAAGAUUAAUGGGAGGGGAAUUGGGGGAUCGGGGGAAGAGGAAGAGAACGAAGUGAGACAAACGUUGGAGUCUCUGAGGAAAAAGACGACAAUUUGGUCUUGGCUAAUUCCCACCCAUCAGUCAGCUCUCCUCUAUCACACAACAGCUACCAACCAACGAGGGUGAAGGCUAACACCUGAAGCCAACCAAUCACAUCUUCUCAAACUGCUGCUCAUGCUGCAUCACAGGGCAGUGGAACACAUUCAGAGGAAAGCGCUGUCUGCCCUCUUCCACAUACACAAGCUCACAGACGCCCAAAAACGGCUAAAAUCGCUGUGAUUGACAGGGGAGAAAGGGUAUGCCCCUCCCACCCAUUACAGCAACGCAAAAUUCGCUCACUUGGCGACAUCUUCGGGAUUCGAAAUUGCAAUUUCCUGAUAAAUCGUGACUGCUUUUCUUUUGCAACACUCAGGAGCCUUAUAAAACCACUUUAAAAAAAACAAACUUGAAGUUCUGUCAUGCUGGACUGAAUUCCCGAGACACAUUCUUCCAAACCUCUCAGAACCUUGAAGAAGCGAUGGACGACUCUUCUAAGAGCACUUGAACAUGAAGAAACACUGAAACACUCUCAGCCUUCUCUCCUUUAUGGUUUUAUAUCCAUCUAGGUGUGCUUUAGUGUGCUGUUUUUAUCCGUGUUGUUCCUGGUUACGUGUAUUACUCAUUGGUAGACGUUACACACCUAGAUAAUGAUGUUGUGUUAUACGUAGCAUCAUGAACUCAGCUGUCAUGAAGCUGCCAUGUUGGUGCUCCGUCUUUGUCCUAUGAAAAGAAGAGUUAUCUAAGGCUGGGAUUCUCAAAGUUUUUGUAGCUAAAGAUGCUUUUAACUGUAAAGUAAAUUCCACGGAUUUUAGACACAUUAUUUUAGUGUGUAAAAUAAAAUUCUGGCUAUUUAUUACAGCCUUAGAGCGUUUUAUUUCUGGACUUGAAACCAUCAGAACACAUUCGAUUCCAGUAGACAUGACUAAUAAGCAGACUUGUUUUGAGUUACUGUGAUUCCAGGGUUGCUGCAGAGUUUUGUUUUUUUUUUUUUUUCAAAAUCAAAUUCCAUGCUUUUUAAGACCUGGCCAACUGAAAAUCAACAGUGUGUCGAUAUAUGAACAAACGACACCGCUUAGCUUGACUGUUAGCAUGACGCUGGUGCUUCUCAGGUGCUUUAAUCCUCACAGUGACUAACUGAACUGUCUAGACACAAACCUCAAAACAGUUGCUUGCUGGCACCAGCUACUCAUCCUCCAACCAUUUCUUGUUGAAUUUGCACUUGUCUGUUUUGUUCUUAUCUCCUUUUUUAACAAGUAGGGGGAGAAAAACAGCAUGAAAGGUUACGAGGUCAUGUGACCCAGGACUAGGUCACAUACAUAGCCAAAAGAAAAUGUAAAAUGUGAAACUAAAAAAAGCAGUUUAUCCAAAAUGAUUUCUAAAUCAGUGUUGAGACAUAAGCUCAGAAUUUAAUACCUAAUAGUUAAAAGCAACAGAGUUAAGACAUUUUAUGAACCUAAAUUUCAUAAAUAAAUGUAACCCUGGCUUUGGAUUAAACCCAGUCAGUUCAGUCACAUAGGCUAGUAACAUAUAUGUCAUUAUUAUAAUUGUUUGCUUUAUCCUUAUUGUAAUAUGCACAUUUAUUACUGCAUUUACGGUAGACCUGCUAUUCCAGCUGUUACGGUAAUAACAGACCUGCCAAACCCAAAAAAGUAUAACACACAGACUCGGGAAGGGGUGGAGGAAAAUAAAAACUUUUUUAAAUAUAGUCCUUAGACAUAUUUCUUGUCUAAUGGAGCUUGUAGAAACUGUGAAAUGUCUCAACAUGGCUGACAUUUUUCACAGCCAAACUGUUUGUGUCUCAGCACUAAAGCAGCCUUUUAAUCACUUUCUAAAUUAUUUUUAAAGCGUUAAAUUUAUUGUAGGUCCGUGUCAUUGUGGGUUCUUUUAUUUUUUUGGUUUGGGGUCAAAAGUUUCAGCCUGUUUCCCUUCCCAAAAGUGCUGUUUUCAGCUGAAAAUUUGGAGCAGCUGAUUUUAGCCAAGUGAAACUUCCACUAAAUAUUCUAUUUCCCAAUAAUGAACUCAAAACAUUCUCCGUUUACCGAGACAGAAAGCGAGGACGCCGCGUCAGCAUCAGCGCAUGUUUCAAGCAGCGAACCGAGUCGAGACGAGAGCAUCGGCCACAACGUUACGCUGCAUUCGACUUACAUGAGAAGUGGAAAAUCGUAGCUUGGAAUUCGAGCUACAAAGUGGAGGAAGAAAACCAAAGACGCCUCCAUGUUCAUCUUUCAUUAGCAACACGUGUUUAAGAGUGAUGUAUAUUUACUUCCUCACAACAAAUCAGUGAACUGUAGAGUCAGUGUUAUAGAUUUAACAAGCAAAUGUGUCUUUAUGUUGACGGAUUUAAAGCUAAUAUACAGUAUCACUCACUUAAAGGUAAGAAGUGCUGCUGCUGUGUUUACUGUUGAUGCUGUGAGCGGCCAUUUUGAUUCGACGUCGCUUGCUGAACUCAGGGUUUUAUAGAGAUUGUCCCGACUUGAGAAGGCACUGUGUUUGUUUUUUCUUUUCCAGUAGACAGACUACACAUUAGUACUCGUAAGAUGGGGGAAAGGGGCGGGGCUUCUAGUUAUAAUUAAGUGCACCUAUGCAACUGUCGAUCUUUCUAGAUUCCUACGUUGAUUGGCUCAUCUGCCGUUUUUAUUUAAAGAGAAAAUCAGACUGACUGUUAAAGCACAGAGCUCCUAUAUGUAAAAUACGUAAAAGUUAGCAGGUCUGUAUGAAGCCUGGAUGAUGUAAAGAUGUUUGGCAGCUAUAGUUUGCGCAAUUUAAACACACCGAUGUCUAAAAGUAUUAAUUCGACACCAAGACACAAGAUGAAAAUCUUAAAUAACCCACUCGAGACACGAUGCAAGUUUAUCCUUUUGUUUAAUGUGACUUUUUCAAAGCCAGAAAUCUUUGAACGGUUCAACGACUUGAAACAACUUAAAAAGUUACAAAACAAACAUUGGGACGAGAAGCAGAGAGCCCUCGCUUGUUCUCCGUUUUGCACAGUGUGUGUCUGUGUGUGUUUGUGUGUGUUUUUACUGUAUGGAUCAUGCACACAGGGGGACCAACACACAGAUCUGCAUCAUUAACAAAAAAAAAAAAAAUUAUAAAAACACUGC
This is a long non-coding RNA of Pangasianodon hypophthalmus (striped catfish), 3682 nucleotides long. RefSeq lists it as uncharacterized. The record is from RefSeq and is a predicted model, not a curated record. The transcript is spliced from 2 exons. Lineage: Eukaryota; Metazoa; Chordata; Actinopteri; Siluriformes; Pangasiidae.